Molecule: ribosomal RNA, 489 nt
Filed under: Verrucosispora sp. enrichment culture clone SEQ46_9EClone_AER
Lineage: Bacteria; Bacillati; Actinomycetota; Actinomycetes; Micromonosporales; Micromonosporaceae
Description: bacterial SSU rRNA
Rfam family: Bacterial small subunit ribosomal RNA
Source: RNAcentral
AACGGGGGCUAAUCCGAAUAUCACUUGCGGACGCAUGUUUGUGGGUGGAAAGUUUUUCGGCUUGGGAUGGGCUCGCGGCCUAUCAGCUUGUUGGUGGGGUGAUGGCCUACCAAGGCGACGACGGGUAGCCGGCCUGAGAGGGCGACCGGCCACACUGGGACUGAGACACGGCCCAGACUCCUACGGGAGGCAGCAGUGGGGAAUAUUGCACAAUGGGCGGAAGCCUGAUGCAGCGACGCCGCGUGAGGGAUGACGGCCUUCGGGUUGUAAACCUCUUUCAGCAGGGACGAAGCGUGAGUGACGGUACCUGCAGAAGAAGCGCCGGCCAACUACGUGCCAGCAGCCGCGGUAAGACGUAGGGCGCGAGCGUUGUCCGGAUUUAUUGGGCGUAAAGAGCUCGUAGGCGGCUUGUCGCGUCGACUGUGAAAACCCGUGGCUCAACUGCGGGCCGCAGUCGAUACGGGCCAGGCUAGAGUUCGUAGGGGAGAC